AGGGCAACCCAGCUGAUACCACGCCUUAGGCUCCAGCCCUUCCAUACUGGGAACAAUACCAAGCCUGGAAGAGCAGUAUGGCUAAGGAGACCAGCCAACUCCGUGGCAGUAACCAUCCUUUAAAAUCUUCAGGCAUGAACAUUCCAGCAUAUUACUGCAGUGUGCUCUGAAGUUAGAGGGAGUAUGUGUUGGGUCACGAAGGGUGCGAGUCAGACACAACUGACCUGGCCUCACACUCAAGUACAGAAAUGACGGGAUGUUGAUUCUGCAUGUGUUCUCACUUCCCUGGAUACCACAAAUCAAUGGUAUGGACAUGAAAACUCUGAUGAAGAGAAAGAGACUGAAAAUUUGAGUAACUUCUCCACCCCAAAAAUGCAGGAAUCAAGUCAAAUCGAAAGUUCAACCAAGGUGACUGUCUGCAAAGCCCCUGU
Non-coding RNA from Ictidomys tridecemlineatus (thirteen-lined ground squirrel), 431 nucleotides. The record is from RefSeq and is a predicted model, not a curated record. NCBI's taxonomy places the organism in Eukaryota, Metazoa, Chordata, Mammalia, Rodentia, Sciuridae.